AAAAAUCCAGAAGCAGAGCAUUUUGUCCCUCCUGGAGAGGGACAUGUUGGGAGAUUUGCUGGGAGUUUAUUCUGUCUCCUUGCAGUGACUCCUUGUGCCCUACCUAAUUCCAGCACAGAUUAUCAUGAAAAGUCAUGGCUGCUUUGGGGAUUCUUAGCUAUGAGCAGAGACCUCUGAAAAGACCACGACUUGGACCACCUGAUGUCUACCCACAGGAUCCCAAGCAGAAAGAGGAUGAACUAACUGCGGGGAAUGUAAAACAAGGAUUCAGUAACCAACCGGCCUUUUCUGGAGACGAGCAUGGAUCUGCCAGGAGCAUUGUCAUUAACCCAUCGGAGAUUGGAGCAUAUUUUAGCAGCAUUUUAGCUGAAAAGUUAAAACUAAACACAUUUCAGGACACUGGGAAGAAAAAGCCACAAAUUAAUGCCAAAGACCACUAUUGGCUGGUGACCACUCACUCUCAAAGUGCUAUUCACAGCUGGUUUAUGGAUCUGGCUGGUAACAAACAUCUGACUGUUUUAGCUAAAAAGGUACCCAUUCUUAGCAAGAAAGAAGAUAUUUUUGUAUACCUGGCCAAAUACUCAGUGCCACUAUUGCGAGCUGCCUGGUUAGUGAAGAUGACUUGCGCAUACUAUGCUGCUAUUUCAGAAGCCAAAAUAAAGAAACGUCAAUCAGCUGAUCCAAAUAUAGAAUGGACCCAAAUAUUAACAAGGUAUCUCCGAGAACAACUGGUGAAGAUUGCUGAUUUUUACCAUACAAAUUCCAGCCAGUGCAUUAGUCCUGUGGUUGUGUCGCAAGAUGUGGAACAGGCUUUCAAGCACUGGAAAUACAAUGAGAAAUUAGCAUUUUACAUGUUUCAAGAAGGUUUGUUAGAAAGACAUGAAUACUUAACAUGGAUGCUGGAUGUUUUAGAAAAAGUCCACCCACUGGCUGAUGAGCUUCUGAAAAUCUUAUUACCCCUCAUCUUACAGCACUCUGAGGAAUUUGUGCAAUCAUCAUACUUGUCUCGUCGCCUCGCCUACUUCUGUUCCCGACGCCUCUCUGCUCUGUUGAAUGAUUGUGCGAACCCUGUCACAGUGCACACACCCAUUAUCAUGAUGGGCCCAAACAAUCCUCCUAUGACUGCUCCAAGUCCCAGUGCGUCAGGACCAGUGGUCACUUCUGUCCAUCUGCCCUGUGUUGAUUUCCAGUCAUGUCCUCAACACCGCCCACUGGUGUACGGUCUUAGCUGUAUGUUGCAGACUAUCACUCUUUGUUGUCCAAGUGCCUUGGUGUGGAACUAUUCCACAAAUGAAAGUAAAAACACAAAUCCAGGUUCUCCUCUGGAUCUUCUUCAGGUCGCCCCAUCCAGUUUGCCUAUGCCUGGUGGAUACUCACCUUUCAAUCAGCAGGUUCGAGCAAAAAUUUUUGAAGUGGAACAGCAGAUCAAACAAAGGGGUCGAGCCGUGGAAGUCCGGUGGUCAUUUGACAAGUGCCAAGAAUCGGCUGCAGGGGUUACUAUUAGCAGAGUUUUGCACACAUUGGAGAUCUUAGACCGCCAUUGUUUCGACAGACUGGACUCCAGUAACUCUUUGGAUACCUUGUACCAUAGAAUAUUUUGUAUGAACCAAAAUAAGGACAGCCAAGAGCAGGUGCCUCCUAAUGAUGAAGCAGUGGUCACUUUACUUUGCGAGUGGGCGGUUAGUUGCAAAAGGUCUGGAAAACACAGAGCCAUGGUGGUGGCCAAACUCCUAGAAAAGAGACAACUGGAGGUGGAGGCCGAGCGAUGCAGUGACUUAGAGGUCAUGGAUGAGAAGGAAUCUAUCUCUUCUGGUUCUCUUGCUGGAUCAAGCUUACCCAUUUUCCAGAAUGUCCUGCUUCGAUUUUUAGAUUCACAAGCUCCGUCUCUCAGUGACCCAAACAACGAACAUGAAAAAAAGGAAUUUGUAAAUUUAGUGUUACUUUUCUGCGAGUUCAUCCGUCAUGAUAUAUUUUCACAUGACGCCUACAUGUGUACUCUAAUAUCACGUGGUGAUUUGUCUGCAAGAUCUCAUUCGCCCGUUGGAGAACAUAUGGAUGACAGUUACGCAAAAGAUCUUCCUGCCAAGCUGGAGGAACAUGGCUUAGGAGACCAAAUGGAAAUUGACUCAGGAACUGCCCACAUAUUUCAUGGCAUUGAGAAAAAUGACUUGAGGACGGAGUUUGCCUCAGAAUUUCCGAUAUUUUCACCAGCUUCUGGAGACUGUCAUCAAUGCAACCCUCCAUCGCUGCAUCAAAGAGUGUCUGGCGCUACUGAAAAAUCCGUAAAGAGAGAAAUCAUUUUUCCAUCCAGCUAUGAGCUUCUUCGCCACUUACAGUAUGCAACACACUUUCCCAUUCCUCUGGAAGCAUCAUCGAGUCAUGAAUGUAACCAGAGAAUGAUUCUGCUGUACGGCGUGGGAAGACAGCGAGCCGAGGCCAGGCACCAGCUUCGGAAAUUAACCAAAGAUCUCUUGAAGAUUUUGAAUACAAAUGGCGCAAGUGAUACUGCUGUUGCAGAUGAUGGGCAAAGGACGAGGAAGACCGAGCAUGAAACAUUCCCAACUAUGGAGAGCACAUUUUCCAGGCUGCAGCACCUGUCCUAUUUUGACCAACAUCAUGUAACAUCCCAGAUAUCAGUGAAUGUACUGGAACAAAUUACAAGCUUUGCUUCAGGAACAUCUUACCAUCUUCCUCUGGCUCACCAUGUCCAACUUAUAUUUGAUUUAAUGGAACCCGCCCUCAACAUCAAUGGUCUCAUUGAUUUUGCAGUACAGCUGCUCAAUGAACUCAGCAUUGUGGAAGCAGAAUUGCUGUUGAAAUCCUCCAACCUGGCAGGAAGUUACACAACGCGACUGUGUUUGUACAUUGUGGCCGUGCUGAGGCGUUACCAUGCCUGCUUAAUUUUAAACUCUGAUCAGACAGCGCAAGUUUUUGAAGGGCUGUGUGGUGUGGUGAAGCAUGUCGCCAAUCCAUCUGAAUGCUCAUCUCCAGAACGCUGCAUUCUGGCUUAUCUGUAUGAUCUAUACAUGUCAUGUAGUCACUUACGGAGUAAGUUUGGAGAUCUCUUCAGCAGUGCUUGUUCUAAGGUAAAGCAGACCAUAUACAGUAAUGUACAGCCUUCCAACUCUAAUGUGUUAUGGGAUCCAGACUUCAUGGCCGACUUCAUAGAGAACCCAUCAGUGCACAAUAUUAAUCACAUAAUGCUGGGAAAGAUCCUCAGUGACAAUGCAGCCAACCGUUACAGCUUUGUGUGCAAUGUUCUCAUGAAUGUGUGUAUGGGGCACCAAGAGCCAGAGCGGAUCAAUGAUAUAUCUAACCUCUGCGCAGAACUGACAGCUUGCUGCACAGUACUCAGCUCAGAAUGGCUGGGAGUACUGAAGGCUCUGUGUUGCUCCUCCAAUCACGUGUGGGGCUUUAAUGAUUUACUCUGCAGUGUGGAUGUUAGUGAUCUUUCAUUUCACGACUCACUGGCCACUUUUGUUGCUGUUCUAAUAGCACGGCACUGCUUUUCACUGGAAGAUUUGGUGCAGCAUGUCGCUCUUCCAUCCCUCCUGGCUGCAGCUUGUGGUGAUCCAGAUGCUGAGCCUGGUGCCAGAAUGACGUGCCGCCUUCUCCUACAGCUACUGAGAACACCUCAGGUCUGCUCAUUUGGGCCAACAAGUGGAAAGAUGGCUCCAGGCAUAUGUUCUUCCUGUGACAGACAUCUUCUGGCAGCGGCUCAUAACAGCAUUGAAGUGGGUGCAGUGUUUGCUGUCCUCAAAGCUAUCCUGAUGCUGGAUGCAGAAAUUGGUAGUAAUAUCAGCUCUUCUAAGUACAAUAAAAGUGGCAUAAUGGAAGACUCUGCAGACGAGAAGAUUUUAGAGUCUCAAACACCUCUACAAUCAUCUGGAAAACCAUUUGUAAUAGAAACUGCAAGUUUAAGCGAAUAUGCUAAAUAUGUUCUGAGAACAAUUUGCCAACAGGACUGGGUUGGAGAUCAUUGUUUGAAAGAGCCAGAGAGACUGUGUACAGAUAAAGAUCUCAUUCUGGAUCCUGUUUUGUCAAAUAAACAAGCACGUAAACUACUACAACUGAUUUGUUAUCCUUAUGGAGUAAGAGAGUCGGUAGAAGGAGACAACAUACAAAGGCUCCAUAUUAAGAAUAUCCUGCAGAACCUCGAGCAGUGGACACUCAGACAGUCGUGGCUAGAGAUUCAGCUGAUGAUCAAGCAAUGCAUGAAGGAACCUGGCUCUAGUUCAGUGACUGAGAUGAAUACGCUUUUGGAUAAUAUAGCAAAGGCGACAAUAGAAGUCUUCCAGCAGUCUGCAGAACUGAACAGCAGCUCCAGUAACCCUGGCAGUGGUCUAUUCAAGGCAAGCUGUGCUGGACGUACUGAGACAAACAGUGCAAGACAUAAUGGGAAAUCUGCCAUCCUCAGCUCAUCUGAACGUAGGGGCGUUUGGCUUGUGGCACCUCUUAUUGCUAAAUUACCAACCUCAGUCCAGGGUAGAGUGUUGAAGGCUGCAGGAGAGGAACUGGAGAAUGGACAGCACUUGGGGUCAUCCUCCAAGAAAGAACGCGAUAGGCUGAAACAAAAAAGCAUGUCACUGCUGAGUCAGCAUCCGUUCCUGUCAUUGGUGCUGACCUGCUUAAAGGGCCAGGAUGAACAGCGGGAAGGGCUCCUGACAUCGCUACAAAACCAAGUGAACCAGAUUCUGUGUAACUGGAGAGAGGAGAAAUACCAGGAUGAUGUGAAAGCUCGGCAGAUGAUGCACGAGGCUCUACAAUUGCGCCUUAAUUUGGUUGGCGGCAUGUUUGAUACGGUACAAAGAAGCACACAACGGACGGCAGACUGGGCUAUUUUGCUACUACAGAUUAUUACUUCUGGAACAGUUGACUUGCAGACAAACAAUGAAUUAUUCACAACUGUUCUUGAUAUGCUGAGUGUCCUAAUAAAUAAAACGCUAGCCUCUGAUCUCUCCAGUGUGUCUCAAGGAAGCUCGGAAGAGAACAAAAGGGCUUAUAUGAACUUGGUGAAAAAGCUUAAGAAAGAACUUGGUGAUAAACGAUCAGAGAGUAUUGAUAAGGUCCGCCAGCUUCUGCUCUUGCCAAAGCAGACAUGUGAUGUGAUUACUUGUGAGCCGAUGGGAUCUCUUAUUGACACAAAAGGCAAUAAAAUUGCAGGAUUUGACUCGAUUGAUAAGAAACAGGGCCUUCAAGUUUCAUCCAAACAGAAAGUUUCUCCUUGGGAUUUAUUUGAGGGUCACAAAAAUGUAGCUCCGCUGUCCUGGGCCUGGUUUGGGACUGUUCGUGUAGAUAGAAAAGUGAUAAAGUGUGAGGAGCAGCAUCACCUUCUCCUGUACCACAAACAUCCAAAGCCCAAACCUCGCAGUUACUACCUCGAGCCCCUGCCACUUCCGGCAGAAGAAGAAGAGGAAGAGGAUGAACCUGCUACUCCAGUGUCCACGGACCCAGAGGGCAAGGCAACAGAGUUUUCUGAUCUUGGUAAAUCAGUAACUGAUGAAGAAAAAAAAUCCAAAAGCAGAAAGCGCAAGAGCAAGAGCAACCCACGGACAGAUGGAUAUCCUCAAAAUCCUGCAUAUCGAGUACCAUCUAAUUGUUCACCUCUGUCCUCUCAAAUGAUACAUCACACCCCGGCUAAUACAUGGAGUUACAAUAUUAUGGGACCGCAGCAGUCCAACCUUUUCUUGCAGAACCAGGUCCUCCCGUCAGGUGGCUCCAGACUGGACCCUGCCGCCACUUUUGUUCCUACAAACACAAAACAAGCCCUGUCAAACAUGCUACAGAGACGCUCAGCCACCAUAAUGCAGCCACCUUCCAUGCAAGCAAUAAACUCCCAACAGCAACUACUGCAACUGAAGCUACUGCAGCAGCAGCAACAACAACAGAGGAUCCUCAGACAACACAUCCAAGCAAGAACAAUUCAGCAGGGCCAAACAAUAGAACAGGCUACUAUAUUUUCUCAACAAAUACGUCCACCUUCCCAGCCUUACACAGGCAUUCAGCAAGCACAGCCUAUUCCACAUGGGUAUACAAUGUACAGUACUCAGGUGCCAGUUCAGCAACAUCAAGGUGGGAGUGUUCUAGUUUCACUCAGUUAUAACACGCGAGCCAAUCCUGCUGCUCCUCCUAGCUCCACACUUAUCGAACGGCUGCAACAGAUACAGCAACAGCCUACUGGAUACAUACAGCAGCAGGGAACUGCCUUCAUACAACCCACAGCAAGUAAUCAACGAUUCGCCCAUCCACCCUUGCAGCAGAGCCCUGUGAUUGGAGGAGGUGUGGAACAAGGAGCCACUCAAGCUCCUCUCUCCAUUAGCACAGUGCAGCUGAAUCAGGAACAAAUGAGACAAAGACAGCAGCAGAUUCAUCAGCAGAGACUUGUACAGCUGCAGCAGCAACAGAAUCAGCAAGAAACAGGUCUCCAAGUAAUGCAAGCACAGCAGCCGUUGGUAUCAUUCCCCAUCCAAGGCUUACAACAGACUCAGCAACAACAGCAAACUGCAGCCUUAGUCAGACAACUUCAGAAACAGCUUUCAAUGUACGUCCCUGCCUGCCCGUAGUGAUGACAGCCCAGCCUCCCCUGUGGAUUAUGCCUGCGCCUCCUCCCGCCGAUGGUCUGCAGCCGGGUUCUGUGUGAACCGCAAGCUGCUGGUUUCCAUGGUGACGGCUGUUUCCGGAAGUGGGUGUCUGACGUGAGCGGAAGCAGAGUGAGUAGCGGGCGCGCACAUGACGGACGAUGGCGGCGGGACUACUGUGGUAUUUAGGAGGGUAACCAGCCCCAACAAGCAGUACAUUUAUAUGGAGAUCCUUCCAGUUUCUAAACCCGGACACACAAGUCUUGACUUUUGUUCUUCUUACACUGUAUCAUUUGGAAAGCCUUAGUUAUAUGAUUGUACUGAGUGUGUGGAUAGCUGCACAAUAGUUAGUCUGUAUUUGAUGCUUUGUUUACUCUGCGGCCUACUGAACACCAGGCCUGUUUAUAUUGAUUUCUUGCUACUAUAACAAUAAGGACAAAGGACAUUGCGGAUUAGACUGCUGACUGUACAACUGCACCGGACCAAAUUACAGCUAAACAGUGAGAA
Molecule: RNA transcript, 7085 nt
Organism: Pseudophryne corroboree (corroboree frog)
Lineage: Eukaryota; Metazoa; Chordata; Amphibia; Anura; Myobatrachidae
Gene: MED12L
Gene name: mediator complex subunit 12L
Exons: 46
Source: RefSeq, a predicted model, not a curated record